GAUGAACGCUGGCGGCGUGCCUAAUACAUGCAAGUCGAGCGAACAGACGAGGGGCUUGCUCCUCUGACGUUAGCGGCGGACGGGUGAGUAACACGUGGGUAACCUACCUAUAAGACUGGGAUAACUUCGGGAAACCGGAGCUAAUACCGGAUAAUAUAUGGAACCGCAUGGUUCUAAAGUGAAAGACGGUUUUGCUGUCACUUAUAGAUGGAUCCGCGCCGCAUUAGCUAGUUGGUAAGGUAACGGCUUACCAAGGCAACGAUACGUAGCCGACCUGAGAGGGUGAUCGGCCACACUGGAACUGAGACACGGUCCAGACUCCUACGGGAGGCAGCAGUAGGGAAUCUUCCGCAAUGGGCGAAAGCCUGACGGAGCAACGCCGCGUGAGUGAUGAAGGUCUUCGGCUCGUAAAACUCUGUUAUUAGGGAAGAACAAAUGUGUAAGUAACUAUGCACGUCUUGACGGUACCUAAUCAGAAAGCCACGGCUAACUACGUG
This 497-nucleotide ribosomal RNA is filed under the name uncultured bacterium. Its description in RNAcentral is "partial 16S ribosomal RNA". It matches the Rfam family "Bacterial small subunit ribosomal RNA", at positions 28 to 507 of the family's 1533-position model. The record is from RNAcentral.